CACGUAGUUAGCCGUCCCUUUCUGGUAAGAUACCGUCACAGUGUGGACUUUCCACUCUCACACUCGUUCUUCUCUUACAACAGAGCUUUACGAUCCGAAAAACCUUCUUCACUCACGCGGCGUUGCUCGGUCAGACUUCCGUCCAUUGCCGAAGAUUCCCUACUGCUGCCUCCCGUAGGAGUCUGGGCCGUGUCUCAGUCCCAGUGUGGCCGAUCACCCUCUCAGGUCGGCUAUGUAUCGUCGCCUUGGUGAGCCGUUACCUCACCAACUAGCUAAUACAACGCAGGUCCAUCUGGUAGUGGUGCAAUUGCACCUUUCAAGCAACUAUCAUGCGAUAUCUACUGUUAUGCGGUAUCAGCUAUCGUUUCCAAUUAGUUACUCCCCCGCUACCAGGCAGGUUACCCUACGCGUUACUCACCCGUUCGCAACUCACUCCAGAGAAGCAAGCUCCUCCUUCAGUCCGUUCUACUUGCAUGUAUUACGGCACGCCGC
This 492-nucleotide ribosomal RNA is filed under the name uncultured Streptococcus sp. RNAcentral's name for it is "partial 16S ribosomal RNA". Lineage: Bacteria; Bacillati; Bacillota; Bacilli; Lactobacillales; Streptococcaceae. The record is from RNAcentral.